This 683-nucleotide ribosomal RNA is filed under the name uncultured bacterium. Its description in RNAcentral is "bacterial SSU rRNA". It matches the Rfam family "Bacterial small subunit ribosomal RNA", at positions 54 to 716 of the family's 1533-position model. The record is from RNAcentral.
CAUGCAAGUCGAGCGGAGUUUUGAAAAGCUUGCUUUUCAAAACUUAGCGGCGGACGGGUGAGUAACACGUGGGCAACCUGCCCUUGAGACGGGGAUAACUCCGGGAAACCGAGGCUAAUACCGGAUAACACAUAUCUUCGCAUGAGGAUAUGUUAGAAGGUGGCUUUUAGCUGCCACUCAAGGAUGGGCCCGCGGCGCAUUAGCUAGUUGGUGAGGUAACGGCUCACCAAGGCGACGAUGCGUAGCCGACCUGAGAGGGUGAUCGGCCACACUGGGACUGAGACACGGCCCAGACUCCUACGGGAGGCAGCAGUAGGGAAUCUUCCGCAAUGGACGAAAGUCUGACGGAGCAACGCCGCGUGAGUGAUGAAGGUUUUCGGAUCGUAAAGCUCUGUUGUUAGGGAAGAACAAGUACCUGUUGAAUAAGCAGGUACCUUGACGGUACCUAACCAGAAAGCCACGGCUAACUACGUGCCAGCAGCCGCGGUAAUACGUAGGUGGCAAGCGUUGUCCGGAAUUAUUGGGCGUAAAGCGCGCGCAGGCGGUUCCUUAAGUCUGAUGUGAAAGCCCACGGCUCAACCGUGGAGGGUCAUUGGAAACUGGGGAACUUGAGUGCAGAAGAGGAGAGCGGAAUUCCACGUGUAGCGGUGAAAUGCGUAGAGAUGUGGAGGAACACCAGUGGC